UGGCAUUCCUGCCCUUGGCAGUGUGAGAUGGAAGAUGAUGUCGCAAGGGUGGCCGAGAAGCAGCUGGGCUGAGCUGCUAAAAGCACAGAGACCGGGGCCAGACUCCUCAGCCUGAAAUCCUGCUUCCACUAAGUACCAGCUGGGUAACUUCAGUUUCAGGCCCUGGAGGUCCAUGCUUCUGCCCAAGCUGUGUCUCAUCUCUGCAGGUGGAGCCCAGUUGACAGGAAAUGUUUCUCCAGAAGCUGAAAAGCUGCCUGGUAAAGGCCUUUCAUAAAAUGGUCUGCGUUUGGGACCAGGAAGACAGAAGACUCCUCAAGAAGAGAACUGGAACCUUAACCCACUUCAGACUUCUUCAUGUCUGAAGCUUAUUUCCACCAUCCCAUUGAGAACCAAAGAAGCGAGCUCCUUGGAGAAUCGGCUCCCACCUGGACCUUCUGUUUAUCCUUCCAAUAGCUGCUGCAUUCAUCCUUCCCAGCUAAUGACACUUCCAGCCUUUCGUGUUUCAAAGUAUCACGGACUUUGCAAAAGAUUCCAGGUUUCUAUGGAGCAGAUAGUACUUUUAACAAUCAACAUGUGCAUUAUUAUUUCCUCCUAAGGCAUACUUAGACAUCAAUGCAUGCUACAGCAAGGCAACUUAUCUCACCCUCACCAAGGUGGCUUCUUCUUGGAUAUCUGAAUGGUGGUGAGAUCAACCUCUGGGCCAGCCAAGUAUGGAACUCAAUCCAAAACAACGGACUUCUUUUGUUUCGUGUCAGUUCAGCUUCCUACAAACAAAAUUAAAGCAGCAUUGGUUUAGUAAUUGGAAAUGCAUAUCAAAGAAAAGAAGCUUAACUCAAAACAGAUUUUCCUAACCAUCUUCAAUGUACAUGUGUAGGAGAAAUGCAUUCUUUAUUUGUAGCAGUGCAAAUGUCAGUGAUUACAAACAUGUGUGUGACUGUUUGCCAGCAAUUUGUUCUUGCCCUUGGAUGAUCAGACCCUUACGGAAUCUAGGCAGACUGUGGAACUUCCAUUGGCUUCCACUGGCUUUGGUGUGAAAUAUAGAGAUAUGAGUAGUGGUGACAAGAGGGGACACGGGAAAGGCCCGUGGGAAUAGGCCUUUGAGGGGAAGCACGCUGAUCUCUUGUUCUGCAGCGCAUGCUUGGGAUGGUAUGCGCAUGCCUUCUCUCACUAAGACUAGGACUGCUUACAGAAUGCGAAUAUAAGUAUCCUUAUUUGGGAGAAAAGUACAUUUUCAAGGGCUGGUAAAAUGACGUGGAGGAAGGGAGGAUCCAGGGAGCCUUCUGAAGAGUAUUGUCAGGAUGUCUCUUCUCUUUCAGCCACCUGGAUAUGUUUCACAUUUUGUUUCCCAAACAAGGACUAGAUUGGAUCCCAGAAGGGAAUGGUUUCCUUAGUAUACAUUCCGAAUUCCUUUGUAAGGGAAAAAUCCACUUCAUCUGGUCUAAGAAUACGUAAGAACAAAUGAAAAUGUUGUGGCUGGAGAUGUUCCUGAGUUAAUAUCAGGAUGUUUGCCUGCUGGUUUCUGUUUUACCAAACAAAACAUAGCUGCCAAUUCAUCCAUCUGUAAAAGUGCUCCUUGUGGACCCCCUCAAGAGAAGUACUGGUUAUUUUAUUUGCAGAAAACGUUUUAUUGGGAGUUGUUUACUUUCUGUGACUGAAGUGGGGAACAUGAGGGUCCCUUUACGGAGCCCUCAUAUUCCAUGUGUACUCUGUAUUUUAUUGAGGCUGUUUCCCAGUCAGAACAGCGUCUCUCUUUGUUUGUCAUUCCAAAUCUUUCAGUGUCUUUAGAGCUCUGAGGGCCCUGGAGAGCCUCACCCAACCUCUCAUCCUUCCAUGGCUGUCCCCACCUCUGUGCACUUAUGAGUCAAUGUUGCCGCACUUCAUUACAUGCUGUUCAUAUUACAGCAUUAUAAGAUUUUUUCUUUUAAAAGCCUAUCUUCUUCAAUCGGGUAGUAAGACCAUUGUGGGUUGAGGCAUGUUUCAUACUUCCCACAUAAUCACUCCAGACUUAAAACAGAACCGGAAAUACAUGAAAUAAAAAAUUAUUUUUCUGUUCUCAAAUAAAAAUUAUUGUUCUGUUCUCUACAAAUCUCCAAGUGCAUAAUGCAGCAAAUAUGCAGGUUAUUCUGAUAUUCUACACUAUUAUUUGAUGAAAAAGAAGAUUUUUAAAUAUGCAGUAAUAGGGAAAAUCCUGUGGUCAUUUAAUGAUUCUGGUAAGUCAAGGAGAAAAAGGUAUAAUUAAUGAGUAAAACCAAAGUGCACAAACUAUGUAACCAGGAAGAGAAAUUGAAAAUUGAAUAACAGAGACUUAGAUGGUGGGGGAUGCAAUUGUCUGGGAGGGGAAUUUUUAAAGCAACUUCUUUGGAUUUUAUAAAAGUUAUAAGCUUCAAGAAAGAGGAUCCAUCUCCCAUUUUUUUUAAAACAAUUCAGCACUUGAUUUAAAACAUUUGAAGGAUAACUAAAUAAAUGUAAAAAAAAAGAGACUAAAUUCUAAAUUGUAAGGGCGGGUUUAAUCAGAAAACACAGUCUUCAAGAAGAGAAUUUCUUAUGGCUGCAUAGUAUUCCAUGGUGUAUAUGUGCCACAUUUUC
RNAcentral lists this long non-coding RNA (2586 nucleotides) under Homo sapiens (human). Its description in RNAcentral is "non-protein coding LINC00968:6". Lineage: Eukaryota; Metazoa; Chordata; Mammalia; Primates; Hominidae. The record is from RNAcentral.